This 70-nucleotide transfer RNA is filed under the name Camelus bactrianus (Bactrian camel). It matches the Rfam family "tRNA". Rfam says of the family: Transfer RNA (tRNA) molecules are approximately 80 nucleotides in length. RNAcentral also lists the same sequence under 1 other name. The record is from Rfam by way of RNAcentral. Lineage: Eukaryota; Metazoa; Chordata; Mammalia; Artiodactyla; Camelidae.
GGAUAUAGCUCAGUGGUAGAGCGCAUGUUUAGCAUACAUGAGGUCCUGCGUUUGAUCCUCAGUACCUCCG